UAUACCGUGAAACUGCGAAUGGCUCAUUAAAUCAGUUAUCGUUUAUUUGAUAGUACCUUACUACUUGGAUAACCGUGGUAAUUCUAGAGCUAAUACAUGCUAAAAACCCCGACUUCGGAAGGGGUGUAUUUAUUAGAUAAAAAACCAACGCCCUUCGGGGCUUCUUGGUGAUUCAUGAUAACUUUACGGAUCGCAUGGCCUUGCGCCGGCGACGGUUCAUUCAAAUUUCUGCCCUAUCAACUUUCGAUGGUAAGGUAUUGGCUUACCAUGGUUUCAACGGGUAACGGGGAAUUAGGGUUCGAUUCCGGAGAGGGAGCCUGAGAAACGGCUACCACAUCCAAGGAAGGCAGCAGGCGCGCAAAUUACCCAAUCCCGACACGGGGAGGUAGUGACAAUAAAUACUGAUACAGGGCUCUUUUGGGUCUUGUAAUUGGAAUGAGUACAAUUUAAACCUCUUAACGAGGAACAAUUGGAGGGCAAGUCUGGUGCCAGCAGCCGCGGUAAUUCCAGCUCCAAUAGCGUAUAUUAAAGUUGUUGCAGUUAAAAAGCUCGUAGUUGAAACUUGGGUCUGGCUGGCAGGUCCGCCUCACCGCGUGUACUUGUCCGGCCGGGCCUUCCUUCUGGAGAACCUCAUGCCCUUCACUGGGCGUGUUGGGGACCAGGACUUUUACUUUGAAAAAAUUAGAGUGUUCAAAGCAGGCCUUUGCUCGAAUACGUUAGCAUGGAAUAAUAGAAUAGGACGUGCGGUCCUAUUUUGUUGGUUUCUAGGACCGCCGUAAUGAUUAAUAGGGACAGUCGGGGGCAUCAGUAUUCAAUUGUCAGAGGUGAAAUUCUUGGAUUUAUUGAAGACUAACUACUGCGAAAGCAUUUGCCAAGGAUGUUUUCAUUAAUCAGUGAACGAAAGUUAGGGGAUCGAAGACGAUCAGAUACCGUCGUAGUCUUAACCGUAAACUAUGCCGACUAGGGAUCGGGCGAUGUUCUUUUUCUGACUCGCUCGGCACCUUACGAGAAAUCAAAGU
RNAcentral lists this ribosomal RNA (1019 nucleotides) under Plenodomus sinensis. RNAcentral describes it as "SSU rRNA". It matches the Rfam family "Eukaryotic small subunit ribosomal RNA", at positions 75 to 1104 of the family's 1831-position model. The record is from RNAcentral. Lineage: Eukaryota; Fungi; Ascomycota; Dothideomycetes; Pleosporales; Leptosphaeriaceae.